This is an RNA transcript of Triticum aestivum (bread wheat), 5767 nucleotides long. RefSeq lists it as uncharacterized. NCBI's taxonomy places the organism in Eukaryota, Viridiplantae, Streptophyta, Magnoliopsida, Poales, Poaceae. The record is from RefSeq and is a predicted model, not a curated record. The transcript has 2 exons.
AUGGCUAGCCAUGUCGCUGCGACUCUGCCGCCGCUGUUACCUACCCGGCGCGCUGCCUCCUCCUGACGCCUCCUCCGGCGGUGUACACGGCUCGUGUAGAGCUGGACACCAAGAAGCAGCAGCCUGGACGUGCCUCUAUGAGCCGAAGCUGGAUCAGAGACAAGAUCGACCUUCCCGAACGUGCUUCCCGGAGCUCCAGCUGGCUCACUGACAAGACGCUCCGCCGUGUCGGGACUUUGAACGGCGGCGUCGAGCGCUUCGGCCGCGGGGAGAUGCCGAGGGAGAACUGGAAGAGGCCGGCGAACCGUACGCCAUCAGUCGACCGGUGCGAGAAGAAGCUGAGGCCUCCGACCGAGAUAGUGGCAGCCUCGGAGGCAUCACUCCUCGUCGGCCCGGCGCCGUCAGUCGGCCGGUUCGAGAAGAAGGAGACGCCUAUGACUGAGAUGGUGGCAGACUCGGUGGUGGCAUCCUUCGAUGGCCCUGCUCCGUCGAUCGACCUGUCGGAGAAGAAAGCAGAGCCUACGACUGAGAUGGUGGCAGACUCGGAGGCGACACUCUUUGUUGGUCCUGUGACGUCGGAGAAGAAGCCGACCCCUCCUACCGUGGUGGCACCCUUCGCUGGCCUCGCUCCGUUGAUGGACCGGCCCGAGAAGAAGCCGAAGGCUCUGGCUAAGAUGGAGGUGGACUCGGAGGCAUCCUUGUUCGCUGGCCCGACAUUCAUGGUGUCGCCGGACCCGAGCGAGCUGCCCAUGCCGACCUUCAUCAUGUCGCCGGACCCGAGCGAGCUGCCCAUGCCAACCUUCCUCUAUAAGCACAAGGUGGCUAAAGUGUUAGCUAGACUAGUCGCUCCGAUGCUCAUUGAUCAGCAAGAAGAUUGAAGCCACUUUCAGUAUGUAGUAGCUAGGUGGAGUAUACUGAUCAGCAAGAUUGAAGCUGUUUUCAGUAUGUAACUAGGUGGACAUGAUUAAUACAAUUGCCACCAUUUAUUCCUGAGGUUGGCACUGAUCUUAUCUGCGGUGGAAUGAAAUGAUCGUGUUCUGCAAAUAAGCGUCAGUCGACACGGCAUACUGUGCAAAGUGCAAACAGAGACAUUCUCGCAAACACCUUCAGGGCGUGAGUACGACAGGCUCCUUCCAGGGCCAAGCUCUGGGCCAGGCACCUUGGGCCGCGUCGCCAUCCUUUGGAUGAGCUCCGUCCAACUGCUUCAUCGCCUCGGCUGCAUAUCUGUCUCUCUCCCUCCGGCGGUGCUGCUGACCCGGCGCAUCUGUCGCCGCGUUCCUCCCCGCCGCGUCGGCGUACAACCGGCGGCUCUCCCCGUCGCUGCGGCCCCCGGCUCACCCGCAGGCGGCGUCUCACGUCGCCCAGCGGCCAGAUCCCCCCCAACGCCGCCGACCGCCGCUCGCCCUCCUCGCCAUCUUCAAGCUCUGACCCGUGGCAGUGCACUUCAACCUGGGGCCAACGACCCAGCGGCCUGCGGCAGCGGUGGCUAUGGCCGGCUGCUGCUGCUGCUAGGAGCCCGGCCCGCAGCCACAAUAGCACGCCGACCAGCCAUCAUGUCUGUUGAAUCAAUGUCUCUCACUAACACUGGGAAACCGAAUUAUGCAAGUGGAAGGUGAAUUUUCCACAUCUCCUGACACAGCCUUUACGCCAUCCCAAUACAAUUCUAUUCAUAUAUGAUUCAUGCCAUGUUGGAAGUAGGAAAUGAAGUUUAACAUUGUCGAGUCAGCGCAGCUUAUUGUAGGAAGAGGAGAUACGAAAUUUAACAUUGUCGAGUCAGCGCAGCCGAUUUUGGAAGAGGGGAAGCUCAACCAGGCCUAGCCAACCACAGUACCUUGCUUGACCUGCUUGAAAUCCCCCAACUUAUGGACAUAUUUGUUUUGUAUUUGAAGUUGAUUGAUAUUUUUAUAUGACAUUUGGUGCUCACAUAUGCAAAAUUUUCAGGUUCCAUGGUACAUCUGCUGUCACAUGAUCUUCUUGAUGCAUAUUCACAAUCAAAAAUAGAUUUUGUGCCUACUUGCUUUCUUAUGCACCGUGCUGUUAGCUCGUGGGAGAAUCAGUAAAAAUAAUUCUGACAUGAAACUGUAUAUGAUUGUUCUGAAAUUAGUGGUUCCACGGUGUCUAUAUAUCUAACGUAUUUACUUUAGCAGUUCAGGAGGAUGCUUUUGGGCGAUACACCCUACUUAUGUAGGAAGAAAUGAAGUCAGCCUGCACCAGGGGUGCACUUGACAACAACAGGGACACAAAGUUGGUCUGAUUGGCAAGGCUUCUGGUUAGCUCUUUACACAUGGUAAUUUAAACAUCUGAAAAUCAAGAUUUAUUUCUGGUUAUCACUAAAGAGAAGUAUUCUUGCUAAAUCAGCUUUAGCUAGGAGAGAAUGGAAAGAAAUGUUCUUUACCUAAUCAGCUUUAGGCAGGAGAGGCUACAAAGGAGACGAAAAAUGGCAUUUUUGUCAUAAGAUAUCAUUGGAGCGCCUCUUGUGUGCUUUCCCUGUAGAUUCCCUUUGCUGGACUGCAGAGUCAAAUGUUCUUAUUUUCUAAACUCGAUAUUUACAAAUAUUAACCAUUUGUGAGCAGUGAUAACGGUUACAUGGUUUUAGCCAAAAUGUCUAGCUAAGACUUUCUGAUCAUAUAGGACUCCUACUACAAAGAAAACACAGAAGGCGGUCAUAAAGAUGAUGGCCUCACUACCAAUCUGUUUUAUGGGGUCAAUGGAAACUGAACUUGCUUUUGCCGAACCACAAUGGUUUGCAACCAUAGAGCCACACAGUUUGGGGUUUCCACCAAAGCUAGAAUCCGGAAAUGUGCUAAACUGGCCCGCGUUUGGAAUAGUGCCUUCCAGGUCAUUAUUAGAAAUGUUGAAUCUGGAAAGGAAGUGCAGAUUGUUCAAUGCAGCUGGAAUCUUACCAGUGAGAUGAUUACCGGACAAGUCGAGCAUCUGCAGGUUCGUGAGGUUGCAGAUCUGUUCUGGUAUCUCUCCAGAUAAUCUGUUGGAGCUCAAGUUAAGUGAAAAUAGUCCUUGUAACUGACCGAUCUCCUCCGGAAUCAUACCAGUGAAAUUAUUCAUGGCUAGAUUAAGCUCUUUAGGAAAAGCACUAGGCGUGAGGUAUUGCAGAAAUUGGUUCUUGUUCCAAACAGGCAGCUCAAAGAAUACCUUUGGUGCAGUACUAUCUGAUUCUAGCAUUGGCAUCUCCAUUAAAGCACUUGGAAUUUCCCCUGUAAGGCUGUUGUUUGAUAUAUCUAGAGAGAAGAGAAAUUUUAGGCUGCUGAUCCAUUCAGGUAUGGGCCCAGUUAGUUUAUUGCCUUGCAAAAAUAGCAUCCCCAAAUUCGGUAGCUUCGAUAACCAAUCAGGUAUUUUUCCAGACAAUGAACAAUGAUUUAUAUAAAGAACCUGGAGAUUCUUGAAACCAUCAAUGUUGACAUCCUCUGGCAUGGUCUCAUGCAGGAAGUUGAACCCAAGAUAAAGGGUGGUGAGGCUCCUGGAACUGCUUAGGAUCCGAAUUGUUCUUGUGAUAUUUGUAAGAGAGUUAUUAGCAAGUGAUAGGAAUGACAGGGACUUCAGAUUGCCUAUUUCUUCUGACAAUUGACCAUGGAAAGGAUUGUAAGAUAGCCGUAGUGCAGUCAGCUUGCUGCAGGAGUAUAUGCUUUCUGGAACUGUGCCGGUGAAGUUAUUGGAAAGAAGAUCUAGUUUUUUUAGAUUGGACAGACUUACGAAGUUGACCUUGCUCCUCCAAUCUCUUCACAUCACCUAUAGACUCUGGAAUAUUGCCGCUGAGCUCAUUCCCCCCAAGAUCAAGGGUGACCAGAUUUGUGAGCUUGCUGAUGCCAUCAAGAGCUCCUUCUAACCUAUUGUUAGGCAAUGAGAGGUGCUCUAACGAGAUUACCUUAGAAGAGUUCAUCUGGAAGUGUACCACUGAGGUUGUUGUAGCCAGCACCAAGCAAUUUCAGCGCUGAGCAAUUACUGAGCCCUGGAGGGAUGUUUCCACUGAGUUGGUUGAAACUGAGCUCAAGCACGGCAAAAGAUGGGGCGCUAAAACAUGGUGUAGUUGGUAUCUGACCAGUAAACCUGUUGCUGCUGGCAUUAAGAACGACCAGGCUCUUCAUCGCCUCCCAUGUUGUGGAUGGAAAACUGCCUGUAAACAAGUUGCUUGAGAUGUUGAGUACCUGCAGAGGCCGCACAGGGGUUGAAGAUGGCAGCUCACCCAGGCCUCCUGUCAGGCGGUUGAAGCUGACAUCAAGAACAAGGAUGCUGCUGGAUGAUAUUAACUCCAGUGGCAAGCCACCGGACAGCGAGUUCCGGGACAGGUUGAGGCGCAAAAGCCCGGUGAGGUUGCCAAGGAACGGCGAGAUGGGCCCCUCGAGGCCUCGAGAAGCCAGUGAAACAUCAGUAACCUUCCUAUCUUGGUUGCAGGUGAUCCCUUCCCAUGUGCAGCAGUCAGUGUCGUGCCGCCAUGACGCCGUGAGGCCGCCGUUCCACGAUAGCACGGUGAGGAGCUGGAGAAGGGAGCUCUUCUCCUGCUCGAUGCAAGAGCUGGUGGGAGAGACCAAAUAGAGCAGCAGCACCAGAGCCAAGCUAAAUGGAGGCAUGCUAAAAUUCUUGGUGUGCUUGUUGUAUGAAAUGUAGUGGCUGCACGGUAUUGUGGUGAAACUGGCAAUGGCCUAAUGAAGAAAGAGCGUGCAAACGGAACUGUGUUACAAAUUAUUCUGUUUGUGACGUACAGAAGCAUGACAGCAGACUUUGAAGAUUGCAACUGCACUCGUACUCCACUUUAGGAUUUUGUGAGAGCUCCGGAGCUACUCAAGUUCUUAUUGCUUUGUACAAAAAGUCCACCUCACAGAGUCACAGUUUCCCACUUGGAAGGAGACGAUCGUCAGUUGACGGGCAUGUGUCUGUGAGCGCUUACGUAGAAGCUCAUCUCUGAUUCUCUUCUUUUGAGUUAUAAUUAUUUGACAUCAACCAAAAUCUCACUAAGACGACCAAAUGGGUGAAGGUGGACUUUAGAAGGAGAAAGAAGGCCUCGAGGAGGGAGAAGAACCCUUUGGACAUGGAAUGAGAGUGGCUGGAGGCGAUUUCAGAGUCAAAUAAAGGUAAAGUCAAAAUAAUUUGCUCCAGCUUAUUCUCUCAACUUCAAUAGAAUGCUGCUGGAUUCUCGUGAGGCCGCCAUCCCGAGAGAGCCCGGCGAGGAGCUAGAGAAGGGAGAUCUUCUCCAGCUCGGUGCAGGAGCUGGUCGCAGAGACCAAAGAGAGCAGCAGCACCAGAGCCAAGCUAAAUGAAUCCAUGUGUUAAAAUUCUUAGUGUACUUUGUUGUGUGAAAAAUAGUGGAUGCACGGUGUCGUGGUGAAACUAGCAACGGUCUAGUGAAGAAAGAGCGUGCGAACGGAACUGUCCAUUCUGAAUAUUUUUGUUUGACAGUUUCCUGAAACUGUACAUUCCGAAAGCAUACUAAACUGCCAUUUCCUAAACAAAAAAAAAGAGCUGUCCAUUCGGAUUCUGUCAGUUUUGUUAUAUAUUUUCUGUUUGAAAUUUUCGGUGAUGUCAUUAUGACGCGGCCUAUUUUUUUUUCUUCUGAGCUGCUAAUAAUAUGCAGUGUUAAGUCGAGUGUCGAGUACCGGUGUCUCACUGGUAGUCGAGUGGCUAAUAAUAUUUUGUGUCAAGUAGAGUGUCAUUGUAUUUCAAUGGAGUGCAUAUAUGUCAUGGAUCAUUGUACAGGUGACUAAUAACAUUUCCUAUUAAAUCAAGCGUCGAUGCUAUUAAGGUUUGCUGCUACUCA